RNAcentral lists this ribosomal RNA (253 nucleotides) under uncultured bacterium. RNAcentral's name for it is "partial 16S ribosomal RNA". It matches the Rfam family "Bacterial small subunit ribosomal RNA", at positions 524 to 776 of the family's 1533-position model. The record is from RNAcentral.
UACAGAGGUCCCAAGCGUUGUUCGGAUUCACUGGGCGUAAAGCGCACGUAGGCGGCUUGUUAAGUCAGGGGUGAAAUCCUGGAGCUCAACUCCAGAACUGCCUUUGAUACUGGCGAGCUUGAGUCCGGGAGAGGUGAGUGGAACUGCGAGUGUAGAGGUGAAAUUCGUAGAUAUUCGCAAGAACACCAGUGGCGAAGGCGGCUCACUGGCCCGGUACUGACGCUGAGGAGCGAAAGCUAGGGGAGCAAACGGG